This 428-nucleotide ribosomal RNA is filed under the name Caulobacter vibrioides. RNAcentral's name for it is "partial 16S ribosomal RNA". It matches the Rfam family "Bacterial small subunit ribosomal RNA", at positions 355 to 775 of the family's 1533-position model. Lineage: Bacteria; Pseudomonadati; Pseudomonadota; Alphaproteobacteria; Caulobacterales; Caulobacteraceae. RNAcentral also lists the same sequence under 3 other names. The record is from RNAcentral.
UGGGGAAUUUUGGACAAUGGGCGAAAGCCUGAUCCAGCCAUGCCGCGUGCAGGAUGAAGGCCUUCGGGUUGUAAACUGCUUUUGUACGGAACGAAAAGACUCUGGUUAAUACCUGGGGUCCAUGACGGUACCGUAAGAAUAAGCACCGGCUAACUACGUGCCAGCAGCCGCGGUAAUACGUAGGGUGCAAGCGUUAAUCGGAAUUACUGGGCGUAAAGCGUGCGCAGGCGGUUAUAUAAGACAGAUGUGAAAUCCCCGGGCUCAACCUGGGAACUGCAUUUGUGACUGUAUAGCUAGAGUACGGUAGAGGGGGAUGGAAUUCCGCGUGUAGCAGUGAAAUGCGUAGAUAUGCGGAGGAACACCGAUGGCGAAGGCAAUCCCCUGGACCUGUACUGACGCUCAUGCACGAAAGCGUGGGGAGCAAACAG